UGGGGAAUAUUGGACAAUGGGCGAAAGCCUGAUCCAGCCAUGCCGCGUGUGUGAAGAAGGUCUUCGGAUUGUAAAGCACUUUAAGUUGGGAGGAAGGGCAUUAACCUAAUACGUUAGUGUUUUGACGUUACCGACAGAAUAAGCACCGGCUAACUCUGUGCCAGCAGCCGCGGUAAUACAGAGGGUGCAAGCGUUAAUCGGAAUUACUGGGCGUAAAGUGCUCGUAGGUGGUUUGUUAAGUUGGAUGUGAAAUCCCCGGGCUCAACCUGGGAACUGCAUUCAAAACUGACUGACUAGAGUAUGGUAGAGGGUGGUGGAAUUUCCUGUGUAGCGGUGAAAUGCGUAGAUAUAGGAAGGAACACCAGUGGCGAAGGCGACCACCUGGACUAAUACUGACACUGAGGUGCGAAAGCGUGGGGAGCAAACA
This 427-nucleotide ribosomal RNA is filed under the name uncultured bacterium. Its description in RNAcentral is "partial 16S ribosomal RNA". It matches the Rfam family "Bacterial small subunit ribosomal RNA", at positions 355 to 774 of the family's 1533-position model. The record is from RNAcentral.